UUCGGCGGCCAUAGCGCGAGGGACACGCCCGGUCACAUUCCGAACCCGGAAGCUAAGCCUCACAGCGCCGAUGGUACUGCAGGGGGGACCCUGUGGGAGAGUAGGACACCGCCGGAC
Molecule: ribosomal RNA, 117 nt
Filed under: Microbacterium sp.
Lineage: Bacteria; Bacillati; Actinomycetota; Actinomycetes; Micrococcales; Microbacteriaceae
Source: RNAcentral